AUUGAACGCUGGCGGCAGGCCUAACACAUGCAAGUCGAGCGGCAGCGGGAAAGCAGCUUGCUACUUUUGCCGGCGAGCGGCGGACGGGUGAGUAAUGCCUGGGAAAUUGCCCAGUCGGGGGGGAUAACAGUUGGAAACGACUGCUAAUACCGCAUACGCCCUACGGGGGAAAGCAGGGGACCUUCGGGCCUUGCGCGAUUGGAUAUGCCCAGGUGGGAUUAGCUAGUUGGUGAGGUAAUGGCUCACCAAGGCGACGAUCCCUAGCUGGUCUGAGAGGAUGAUCAGCCACACUGGAACUGAGACACGGUCCAGACUCCUACGGGAGGCAGCAGUGGGGAAUAUUGCACAAUGGGGGAAACCCUGAUGCAGCCAUGCCGCGUGUGUGAAGAAGGCCUUCGGGUUGUAAAGUACUUUCAGCGGGGAGGAAGGCGGUGAAGUUAAUAGCUUCACCGAUUGACGUUACCCGCAGAAGAAGCACCGGCUAACUACGUGCCAGCCGCCGCCGUAA
This 508-nucleotide ribosomal RNA is filed under the name uncultured bacterium. Its description in RNAcentral is "partial 16S ribosomal RNA". It matches the Rfam family "Bacterial small subunit ribosomal RNA", at positions 29 to 523 of the family's 1533-position model. The record is from RNAcentral.